GGGAUUCAGGUUCUUAAUGCUCAAAUAAAAAAACGGAUAUAUACUAAAUUCGAGUUCUCUAUUUUCUCUCACGCUUAAAUCCUUCUUCUCCACAGUUCUUUUUCCCUCUAUCCAUGUAUUUGAAGUUUUGCAAAUCUUCAUCCCAAGUCACUCUUAGACACGUCUCAAAUUUCAAUUUCCUUAUUUGUUUAUUACUAAUCAUUAUUUUAAUUCAACAGGCCUAGCAAAAGAUAUUCAUGGCAUAUGGAUUUGGAGACUUUCAUUGUCAGAUGAACACGGGACAUGGGUAUUACAGGAAGGAGAUUAAGCAAUAAACGGGAGGCAAGUUGUGGAAGAAUUCUUUUUCAUCUUAUUUGUUUGUAUAAGUUGUUUAUGUUAUUUUUUUGUAACAUGAUUGAAGAAUAUAUAUAUAUAUAUAAAAGGUGUUGGAAUUCUUUUUACAA
This is a long non-coding RNA of Glycine soja, 443 nucleotides long. RefSeq lists it as uncharacterized. The record is from RefSeq and is a predicted model, not a curated record. NCBI's taxonomy places the organism in Eukaryota, Viridiplantae, Streptophyta, Magnoliopsida, Fabales, Fabaceae. The transcript is spliced from 2 exons.